CAGAAACGGGGUUGGAACCGGAAUCAGGAAGCCGGAACCUCCGCUGCCUCUAGAGCCAGGUUCGGUGUCAGGCCUUGGUCUCGCGGGCAGCGGGAAAACGCUGCGAGGAGGUUUACGUUGGGGAACGCGGUGAUCCGCAGCAUUUGGCGGCAGUCGCCCCCGGCGGGGCGGGGGAGGGCCUGACCGGAAGUCCGGUCAGAAGAGCGUGACGGUGAGAAGGGCAGGUGAGAGGCGGCGGUGUCCCCAAAGCAAAGGGGAGCCCCUCAAGACGUGAGAACCACCACGUCCUUCGUUCCCCAAAUCCCACUGUUUCUAGACUUUUUCCUUCUGGGAGGCCUGCAAAUGGCUGCUUCCGGGAGAAACAUUCGUCCCCGCUAUUUCUCCAGCCUUCCCCUGUUCCCGGUCCGGCCCUGCCCGCUUAACAUUCAGGAAUGAGAGUGAAGCCGGGGGUCCCGACGCCCAGAGUCCACAGCCUAUGAGGGUCUCCUGGGGCGAGAGGGGGUCGAGGCCACUGGCACGACGCCGUGACUUCACCAACAGCCUGCAGUUCCCGUGAACGAGAUUUGGCCAGGCCCUUGGACUAACGUCAGGAUUCUCCGGUUCCUGCCGUCAGCGCUCGAGGGUCAGACAAAGCCCCACAGGCAACGGCUCUCCGCCGACCCUCCGCAGCGAAGAGCGGAACGCCGAUUCGCCCGCGGCCGCUGGCUCUCCCACAAGGCCGAGCGCGGCCAAAGGGCAGCUCCGCCCCUGCCGUCUCCCGCGGCUCUAUUGGCUAACGUGCCUGCUACUCAGCCGCGCGCCCAACCCCGGCUUCCGGCCUGGAGGCGGGAUCCCAACUCUCCUCGGCUGGGCUCGCCUCGCUGCUCCUUGAACUUGGCGGUGUUUGGCGUCGUGGUUCCAGCGCCCGCCGCGGUUUCGCGGCCCACGGCGGACCUGCAUAAACAUUUUCUAGCUGGAAUCUCACUGCGAGGUGGCCCAGAUAGUGAUAUUCCCGUUUAACGCCGACAGAAAUGGGAGAGAGACCGAGUGACUCUCAGAACCGUGUGGCGGGAUUUUAAAGGGGUAUCUUAGCUGUGGCUGCGGACUCCAGACAGACCCGCGUUUUCUGCCCUUAGCAUUAACUGCGUCGUCGAACCCUUCUGAGUUUAUUUCGUCUGUGAGAUGGGGACGAGAGAGCCAUCUUGCAGAACUGGCGACAUUGAAAAACCAGCAGAAGAAUCCAGUGUGAGGACUGGCCCGUGGUCUGCUCUUGAUGGUGUGGGGGCGCUUAUGCACUAAGUCACUUAAUCUUUACAGUGCACACUAAGGUACAUCCUGUUAUAACUCCCAUUUUACAGACAAGGAAACUGAGGCACAGAUUUAAACACCUAUCCAGAUAAAAAGUGUGGGGGCUGUUUGACAUGCAAUCUAGCUGAUAAAGCCACACACAUUAAUAUUUGUACUAUAUGUUAUUGUACAAGAGCUGUCUUUGACAGUGAUUCUUGUGUCACCAUUUACAAGAUGCCCCUGACUUUUAUUAAACUCUCAAAGGGCAGGAGAAAAAAAAAAAACAACAACAACAAAAAACAGAAGAACCUACACCCUAAAUCAGAGACUACAUGCAGACAUACGGAUGGAUGAUUAGAAACCCAAGUUGUGGGUGCCAUGUUUGGAAUUCCAUUUUAGCUGAGUGCUUCAGACUGUCACAUCUCUCAGGGGCUCCCUGGAGUUGCCCACUAAGGAAAAAUGACUGAAUGACGGGACUGGAAUGGAAUGUAGCCAUCAUCUUAUCUGACCACACAAACACCUCGCAGGAGAUGAAUGCCUCACCUCCUCAUGAUAAUUUUGAAGACUCUCUGAGAAAGUGAUAACACUAGCCCAUGACCUCACAGUCACAAGGAACACUGGAGUGACUGCAGACCCUAUGUGCCUCACUCAGCAGGUGUCGCAGGAUAAAGGAAAGAGAUUGGGAGAGAGAUGCGAGCUGGUAGAUCAGCGGAGACCAAAGACUUAAACUGGAGACUUAACCAUGGGAAACGGGAACAGGGACUCAUUUGCUUGGAGGGUGAAAAGGGUGAAUUUACCUAUGGGGGAAAUCUGAAAGCACCCCUCCCUGGGAGCCAGCUUAGAGUUCCUCCUAAGGUGACCUUGGCCUCCGCAGCGGUGGUGGCCUUGAACUACAUAGCACAUUUGCACACUCAGCUUCUAAAUGCCCAGAGCAGCCCUGAGUCUUGCUGGGGAGAAGUACUCAGGUUCUUGGGCUUCACCUCUCCCUUCUGCCUUCUCUUCCUCCACCUUUCCAUAUCAGCCUGGGGAAUAUGAGGUGUGAGGAGGGAGGUGAGUGGAGGCUGAGUUUUGACCAAUGUUAUAUGACAUUUGAACCAGACUGAUGGCAAAAGGAAGAUCCUUUGGGAGGCAGGCCUACGUUCCCAUCCCUUUUCCUGCUCCUUCGGAUUAGUUAGCUCUCAAUCCUUCUCUCUGGAGGUGGUAAAGAACAGAGAGGCGCACCAGACAACAUCAGCCAAGUAAAAGUAGUGCUGAGGGUGGGUUCCCAAGUGAUCUGUCAACAUCCUGAAAUGAUAUUUUGAGUGACCAGAGAAAAUGCAGUCUCCACGAAGGAGGGAAGUCUAGGGUGGUUCCUGUAGAGAAACACUGGCUGUGAGAUUUAAGGGGUGAAAGUGACAGACAAGAAAUGAGGCAAGAGGCUGACAGUCAGUGGCACCAUUUGCUUUGGAAAUGGAGCAAAGUCUCUGGCAAAGGCUGUGAAGCUCACAAAAGCUUGGUCCUGGGGCAAGGUGGGAGGAUCGGCCUCAUAGGACAAGAGCAUGGCUGCAGAGUUAAAGCCCCAAGGACAAGCAAUAUGAAUUGGGACUUCACCAAACUACCAUCCCCCAAACAACUGGACAGUCUCUCUAUGGCAUGAAUAACAGCUAUUGUGCCACUUGGUAUGCAAAGACAAUUAUUGUACAUCUGUACUAUAAUUGUACUGGGCUUUUGCUAAUUGGCUGUAAAUGCUAACCUUUCUUAAGUGACUCUAAAAAGGAUAAUUUCUGCACAACACUAAUCAUUUGUGGACCUAGCCAGGAAGGCUGAAAGCAGCAGCAGGCUUAGUAGACUCUUCUGAAUGGCUUUGGAGACAUAGCCAGGGAAACCCAGAAUGAGAUAAGAAAACCAGUCCUCUCAUUUGCAACCUGGAACAUUUGAAUAUGGACACUUUGUUGUUCACCUUGGCACCAUUAGUAUUGAGCAGAUUUGUUAAGUAUUAGUUUGAACUGUAUGAUGUGCUAGUAUUCAACUGUUUUUGAUGCACAAAACACAGCCAUUUCCUAUGGCUGAAUCUAAUACAAUCCUGAGAUAAUAACAUAUUCUAAGAGAUGUUAACUUAGUUGAUUGAGGGAGAAAACUGGAAUUUUGAGGGCCUAGGUCUCUAGGAGUGAGUGUUCCCAAUUGUAAACAAUUCAUUAAAAAGAGACAUGCAGGAUCUCUAGUUAAAAAUUCUAGUUUCAUUUAUUUAUUCAUUCAUUGUAACAAUAUUAAAGAUCAUUGAACAUCUCCCAUGCAUCAGUCACUGUGCUAGAGAGACAGAAUAAAAUGAUGGUCACGGCCCUGAAGAAACACACAGAAUAGCAGAAUAGCAGGAAAUGCGUGAGGAUGGUACAAUAGACAGGACUAAGGAGGGUCCUAGGAGAACAGAAGAGGAAAACAGAGAAGGACUGUGGGGGAGGAAAGGAGGAAGACAAGGGGAGGUGAGGUCUUAGCCAAAGAAGGUUUUGAUGUGGGAAAGACAAGUAAUAAUUAACCAAAUAGGCAAGGCAGGAAGGAAAGUUCCAGACAAAACCAGGCAGAGAUGACCAUAUGAUUUAAAGAAACAACCUAUAUUUAGAGUGAAUAUAGGUGUAGUAAGUCUACAGAAAGGCGUUUAUCAAAGGGCUUUAGGUGUCUCAAAGUCAGAAACUGUGUCAUACUUAUGUUCAUAUAGUCAGUGUUGUGUCCAGGACCAUACCUAGCACAUGGUAGGUGCUUGGUAGAUAUUGAAAUAAACUGGCCUGGGGUGGGGAAAAAGCCUGAAAUUGAAAUAUGCCACAAAUUUAAAAGAACAAUUUUCUUUCCUGCUCCCACUAGUCUGAAUUGAUGAGGUUUCAAUAUAGUACUUGAAAUGUUAUGCAUGAAAACAUUCAUUUGCAACCCAUCUCUAGAAAGAGAUGUGGUUAUGUAACCUUUUAAUCUGUGUGUCUAAGUAGAUGUCAAAAGUAUGUCUUGUCUUGAAGACUGUCCUAAGUCUGUUCAAUGUUGCUGUAAUAGAAUACCUGAGGCUAGGUAACCUAAAAAGAAAAGAGCUUUAUUUAUCUCACAGCCCUGCAGUCUGGAAACUAUGAGAAGCACAGUACCAACAUCUGCUCAGCAUCGGAUGAAUCAGGGAAGGCUCUCAAAUGAAGCAGCCUCUGGAAGAUGAGGGCAUUCCACGGAGGAAGGGCAGCAUAUGCACCGGCGUGGAGUCAAUGAAGAGCCAUCGCAGAAUUUUAAAUAAGGAACCGAAAGAGUCUGAAAAUAGAGGCACAGAGACCAGUAAGUUGGUGGUUGCCAAUCAGUAGUCCAAGGAAAUGAUAAAUGAGCAGAGCCAUGAUCAGGACCAGAGAGGAGGCAACAGAAGAGAGAUGCUCAGGAUACAACUGAUGGACUUCAAGAAUGUCUGGAGGUCAACUGCAAUGAAGAACAAACCAUUUUGAUCUCCAUCCUGGUUUAUCUCCUCUGUGUUCUCAAAGCAUCAUAUUAUAAAAUGGCUCACAAACUC
Non-coding RNA from Callithrix jacchus (white-tufted-ear marmoset), 4771 nucleotides. The record is from RefSeq and is a predicted model, not a curated record. NCBI's taxonomy places the organism in Eukaryota, Metazoa, Chordata, Mammalia, Primates, Cebidae.